UUCACCAACCAGGAAGUACUGCGGGCGAUUCAUUUCCUGAACUACUUGCGAGCAGUUCUGCUCCGCUGGCUCCACACGCUGCCCGCAGGGUCCCUGACAAUGGGCUGACGCAUCCUCCGACAUGCAUCCUUUCCGUUAAUUGAAGCUUCACUUUGCCCGCAGGACACAGCACGAGUACCAGCCGGCUUUCUUUCUUUCUUUCUUUCAGUGUGUGAGGAAAUGUCACUGGCAACAAAAGAAAAAGACAUCAUGAAAAGUGUGAGACAAAGUGGCAAACAGCAGUGUUGGAGCAACUCUAUGGAGUCUUGGGCUAUUUUGUCCAUUUUUGAAUUC
Molecule: long non-coding RNA, 333 nt
Organism: Centropristis striata (black sea bass)
Lineage: Eukaryota; Metazoa; Chordata; Actinopteri; Perciformes; Serranidae
Exons: 3
Source: RefSeq, a predicted model, not a curated record